This 971-nucleotide long non-coding RNA is filed under the name Gallus gallus (chicken). The record is from RNAcentral. Lineage: Eukaryota; Metazoa; Chordata; Aves; Galliformes; Phasianidae.
UCUGGAAAGGCACAAGAAAAGCAGGCAGUUCCCUAAACAGAGAGAGAAUCUGUUCGAAUGACCUCAGCCAUGCUGGCGGUUGUUUCCUGAAGCAAUGUCCUUCUCAGGCUGCUCACUGUGGAAAACCAAAUCACAUGCCUGACAAUCAGUGCCUGUGCUUUACCCUGUUUAGUGCCUCUUUUCACCACAUCCUCUUUCCAGUGCUGGAAAAGUGCCUAUGAAAAUAGCAGGUCUCCUGUGCAGAGGCAAAGAUGAGAGGGGAAUGAGAAGUGCAAUUUAAUGUUAUUCUCUGCUACAUCCUUGCCAGCAACACUGCUUUGACUCAUGCGGUUAGUGAUGUUCACUGAAGAUAAGGCUGUACGAGGUACAAAGCAGUAUUAAGUGAUCAGGCACUGAGGUGUUGGAGUACAUUUACUGCCAGCAGCCCUGAGCCACUGUGUUAGGCACAAGAAUGGGGUGCUGGCUGUUCCAAACUAGCAUGAAAAUGCAAGAUCAGAAAUAUAUAUGAAAGGAAUUUCUUCGUGUUAUUUACUAUCUACAAAUGAUAGCAGCUGCCCCCAACAGCAAUACAAACACAGGUGUAUUUUGAUAGCUAGCUGCAGGAUAAGGUGGGGUACAGAUCUCUGUGUCUUCUUCAUAGCUUGUUCAGAAGUGUUUUGUGAACAGUAAAUCGUUUCAUGCAGGGUUCUGUGCUUGUCUACAGUUGGAAUGAGAGCUUUGGAAAGUGGGAGUGUAGUAGAAAAAGAGAAGUAUGGACUUGGCUUGGAGGAAUAUGAGCUUGAAGUAGGAGAGUGAAGAAAAGACAGAGGAGGAGGAGAGCUUUGACAGACUCAUGACAUAAAUUUCUUGGAGGUAAUCCCAAGUGGGUUUAUUCAUGAUGUCAGGCAUAUCUCUGUGCUGACUUGUGAGCAAACUGGGAAGUACAAUUUUUUUCCCUGUAUGAAACUUCAGUGCAUACACAUUUUGUCUAC